This 327-nucleotide long non-coding RNA is filed under the name Salvia miltiorrhiza (redroot sage). RNAcentral's name for it is "long non-coding RNA (SMIL_LNC009456)". The record is from RNAcentral. Lineage: Eukaryota; Viridiplantae; Streptophyta; Magnoliopsida; Lamiales; Lamiaceae.
UCGCAAACUAUUCUAUAUAACAGUCCCGUUCUGUGUACCUACAUGAUUCUGCAUGCAUUUAAUCCAUAAAGACUCAUAACACUGCAUAACUGAAAGAUUUUUGUAGCACGUUAAGCAGAAGGCGAACAGCAUUAUAAUUCUGCAACGAUCAGAUGAUCGAACAUAGUAAAAAUUCCUAUUUGGAGUCGGUUUAAUUUCUUAACAAAAUAAACAUGUUGGCUCUAAAUAAAAAUAAAUAAAUAAAUAUAUAUACUCCAUAUUAUAUGCUACUUAACGCCAUUGAUCAAACUACCAAUAUAAAAACAUAAAAUCUGCACCCCUCUCGCC